This 460-nucleotide ribosomal RNA is filed under the name uncultured bacterium. Its description in RNAcentral is "partial 16S ribosomal RNA". It matches the Rfam family "Bacterial small subunit ribosomal RNA", at positions 338 to 795 of the family's 1533-position model. The record is from RNAcentral.
CCUACGGGAGGCAGCAGUGAGGAAUAUUGGUCAAUGGACGAGAGCCUGAACCAGCCAAGCCGCGUGAAGGAUGACUGCUCUAUGGGUUGUAAACUCCUUUUAUAUGGGAAUAAAAUGUUCCACGUGUGGGAUUUUGUAUGUACCAUACGAAUAAGGAUCGGCUAACUCCGUGCCAGCAGCCGCGGUAAUACGGAGGGUCCGAGCGUUAUCCGGAUUUAUUGGGUGUAAAGGGAGCGUAGGUGGAUUGUUAAGUCAGUUGUGAAAGUGUGCGGCUCAACCGUAAGAUUGCAGUUGAAACUGGCAGUCUUGAGUACAGUAGAGGGAAGCGGAAUUCGUGGUGUAGCGGUGAAAUGCUUAGAUAUCACGAAGAACACCAGUUGCGAAGGCAGCUCACUGGACUGCAACUGACGCUGAGGCUCGAAAGUGUGGGUAGCAAACAGGAUUAGAUACCCCUGUAGUC